This 467-nucleotide ribosomal RNA is filed under the name uncultured bacterium. RNAcentral's name for it is "partial 16S ribosomal RNA". It matches the Rfam family "Bacterial small subunit ribosomal RNA", at positions 28 to 507 of the family's 1533-position model. The record is from RNAcentral.
GACGAACGCUGGCGGCGUGCUUAACACAUGCAAGUCGAACGGAAAGGCCUCUUUCGGGGGGUACUCGAGUGGCGAACGGGUGAGUAACACGUGAGUAACCUGCCCUUGACUUUGGGAUAACUUCAGGAAACUGGGGCUAAUACCGGAUAGGAGCUCCUGCUGCAUGGUGGGGGUUGGAAAGUUUCGGCGGUUGGGGAUGGACUCGCGGCUUAUCAGCUUGUUGGUGGGGUAGUGGCUUACCAAGGCUUUGACGGGUAGCCGGCCUGAGAGGGUGACCGGCCACAUUGGGACUGAGAUACGGCCCAGACUCCUACGGGAGGCAGCAGUGGGGAAUAUUGCACAAUGGGUGGAAGCCUGAUGCAGCAACGCCGUGUGCGAGAUGACGGCCUUCGGGUUGUAAACCGCUUUCGCUCAUGACGAAGCUUUGUGUGACGGUAGUGGGUAAAGAAGCACCGGCUAACUACGUG